AGUGACCUCAGAAGCUCUUUGAUGACUUCACAGCUGCAGAGCCAGGACCUGUGCCAUCCUGGAAUUUCAAGGUAACACCGGCCAAGAACCGCACUUACAGCAGCUGUCGGAUGGAUUAGGCAGCACAGACAGCAGCAGGGUGUGUGAUCCCAGGGGACAGAAGCAUCUCUCAGCAAGCAGCCAUCUUCUGCAGACUCUGGGAUUUUUCAAGAGUGAGCACACUGGCUACAAAGGAGUCUUCCUACGUGAGGCCUUUGUCAAAGGAAGGGCUACAAAGUGACCAUUCAGCUCCUGGGGUUGAGAGCAAAGGGCCAUGCUAAGCAGGAAGGUGUUCACAAAUACCACCAUGGAUUAGCUGGCUGCAGGGGACACCUACAGUGCGUCAUGUCACCGGGAGUAAGGACCUGUGCCCACAUACUGAGAAGGGAGGAAAAGCCUUCCAGUCAGUCUAAGAACACAGGACUGGAGAGAACAUGGGACCAAGCAACCCUCAAACUGGAUGGUGGCGGAGCUGACAACGCUUCAGAGGUCACCUGUCCACAUCCCAGCGGCUCAGACCUCUGCCUAGGAGGGUGGGAGCUCAGCAACAUUUCACUUCCUUAGUUGGAUGUGGCUCAGGGCCCUCUUCACAGCACCCAGAGCUGCAGUUCCUACCGGCUCCCAACUCCCCAGAUGCCCUGCUGAUGGCCAACUCAGAGCAGGUGUCUUUUAGCUAGUCCUUUCUGGAAGGGGGUACGAGAAUACUCACACAAACCGAGCUGGCUCAACCCAGGCAAGAAUACACAGGUCGGGAUGGGGGCCUGGCCUUUUACGCAGCUGCCUAGUGCCAUGACAGAGCCUACAGGCUCUCGG
Molecule: long non-coding RNA, 852 nt
Filed under: Pan troglodytes (chimpanzee)
Lineage: Eukaryota; Metazoa; Chordata; Mammalia; Primates; Hominidae
Description: long non-coding RNA NONPTRT011806
Source: RNAcentral